ACAGCAGUCGCCACGGUAAUACGUAUGUCGCGAGCGUUAUCCGGAAUUAUUGGGCAUAAAGGGCAUCUAGGCGGCCGGAUAAGUCUGGGGUGAAAACCUGCGGCUCAACCGCAAGCCUGCCCUGGAAACUAUGCGGCUAGAGUACUGGAGAGGUGGACGGAACUGCACGAGUAGAGGUGAAAUUCGUAGAUAUGUGCAGGAAUGCCGAUGAUGAAGAUAGUUCACUGGACGGUAACUGACGCUGAAGUGCGAAAGCUAGGGGAGCAAACAGGAUUAGAUACCCCUGUAGUCCCUGUCUCUUAUAC
RNAcentral lists this ribosomal RNA (305 nucleotides) under uncultured bacterium. RNAcentral describes it as "partial 16S ribosomal RNA". It matches the Rfam family "Bacterial small subunit ribosomal RNA", at positions 505 to 807 of the family's 1533-position model. The record is from RNAcentral.